UACGUAGGGUGCGAGCGUUAAUCGGAAUUACUGGGCGUAAAGCGUGCGCAGGCGGUUUCGUAAGACAGAUGUGAAAUCCCCGGGCUUAACCUGGGAACUGCGUUUGUGACUGCGAGACUCGAGUGUGGCAGAGGGGGGUGGAAUUCCACGUGUAGCAGUGAAAUGCGUAGAGAUGUGGAGGAACACCGAUGGCGAAGGCAGCCCCCGGGGUUAACACUGACGUUCAUGCACGAAAGCGUGGGUAGCAAACAGG
This 253-nucleotide ribosomal RNA is filed under the name uncultured bacterium. RNAcentral's name for it is "partial 16S ribosomal RNA". It matches the Rfam family "Bacterial small subunit ribosomal RNA", at positions 524 to 776 of the family's 1533-position model. The record is from RNAcentral.